This 645-nucleotide ribosomal RNA is filed under the name Vibrio alginolyticus. RNAcentral's name for it is "bacterial SSU rRNA". It matches the Rfam family "Bacterial small subunit ribosomal RNA", at positions 750 to 1394 of the family's 1533-position model. Lineage: Bacteria; Pseudomonadati; Pseudomonadota; Gammaproteobacteria; Vibrionales; Vibrionaceae. The record is from RNAcentral.
AAUGCGAAAGCGUGGGGAGCAAACAGAAUUAGAUACCCUGGUAGUCCACGCCGUAAACGAUGUCUACUUGGAGGUUGUGGCCUUGAGCCGUGGCUUUCGGAGCUAACGCGUUAAGUAGACCGCCUGGGGAGUACGGUCGCAAGAUUAAAACUCAAAUGAAUUGACGGGGGCCCGCACAAGCGGUGGAGCAUGUGGUUUAAUUCGAUGCCACGCGAAGAACCUUACCUACUCUUGACAUCCAGAGAACUUUCCAGAGAUGGAUUGGUGCCUUCGGGAACUCUGAGACAGGUGCUGCAUGGCUGUCGUCAGCUCGUGUUGUGAAAUGUUGGGUUAAGUCCCGCAACGAGCGCAACCCUUAUCCUUGUUUGCCAGCGAGUAAUGUCGGGAACUCCAGGGAGACUGCCGGUGAUAAACCGGAGGAAGGUGGGGACGACGUCAAGUCAUCAUGGCCCUUACGAGUAGGGCUACACACGUGCUACAAUGGCGCAUACAGAGGGCGGCCAACUUGCGAAAGUGAGCGAAUCCCAAAAAGUGCGUCGUAGUCCGGAUUGGAGUCUGCAACUCGACUCCAUGAAGUCGGAAUCGCUAGUAAUCGUGGAUCAGAAUGCCACGGUGAAUACGUUCCCGGGCCUUGUACACACCGCC